This 1353-nucleotide long non-coding RNA is filed under the name Sus scrofa (pig). RNAcentral describes it as "lncRNA (ENSSSCG00005025968.1)". The record is from RNAcentral. Lineage: Eukaryota; Metazoa; Chordata; Mammalia; Artiodactyla; Suidae.
GGGUCGAAUCAGAGCUACAAGCUGCCAGCCUAUGCCAGAGCCACAGCAACAAGCCUGGGCUCUUAACCAUCAGGCAACACGGCCUCCAGGAGUGACCUUGACCUUGAUGCCUUCCUGAGACCAUCUCCCUGUGGACGCCAACUCACUGCACACAAGUAACAAGGACCAGUGGUCAUGAGUGCUUUCUUUGUUGAAAUUUAAGAAUAAUCGGUUUGGAGUGCAAUUAUUAGAACUCAAAGAAAAAAAAAAAGAUAAAAAUAAGCUGUUUUUUUUGUUUUGCUUUUUUUAAAAAGAGUUCCUGUUGUGGCUUAGCAGAUUAAGAACCCGACUAUUUAUCCAUGAGAAUACGGGUUCAAUCCCUGGCCUUGCAAAGUGGAUUAAGGAUCAGCACUGCGCCUCGAGCUGCAGCAUAGGUUGCAGCUGAGGCCCGGGGAGCUACAGCUCUGAUUCAACCCCUAGCCUGGGAAUCUCCAUAUACCGUGGGUGUGGCCCUAGAAAAGACAAAGAUAAAGACAAAGGAAAAAAGAGACGAAGAGAAUUCUGUCUGAGAAGUCAUUUAUGAAGGUCAAAGGGUCCACCCUUUAUGGCUCACAGUGUGACAUUUUGAAAAGUGCGUAUCGUGUCACACUCAAGACUGCCCACACUGGGAAGGCAGCCAAGCUUUACUGCCACCUCCACCCCAGGGACAGUGCCCUACUAAAGGCCACAGAGGACCACCCAGCUUCAAAGACUGCUUGUCAUUGCUCACACUUGGGGUGGGAGUUCCCCAUGAAUAAACAAAUAAGAGAGUUUCUAUCACUUCCCAUGUGAUUCAGAAUCAGUGCAGCAAUUAGCCCCGGGUGCUUGCUUAUGAAGGACCCAUCACAAAUGUUUCAUGUGCCAAAUAGCUUUUCAGAAAAAUGACAUGCAAAAGAAGUUCCGGGCCUGUUUCAAGGAUCUAACCAUCUCUUUGUUUUCUCAUGUGUGAUUCAAGAUGAGAGAAAGAAAGAGAGAAAGAAAGAACUGCAGAUGGGAGUGGAAACAGCUUGUGAAUCAAAAAGAAGAUGGGGGAAAAAAAAGAAGGAAAAUCACAGAUGACUCCCCAAACCUCAUGACAACAAUCAGGAUUCUCCCACUUUAGAUGUUUUACAGAACAGCUAAUGAGUUGUCAACAGUUACUUUAUUGAGCGUUUCAAGGUGCAUAGCAUUGUACAGAGCUUGAAAAUGUCAAAUUGACUUUUGUCACAUUCUGUUCAGGUUCCCGCAAUGUCCAUGGUUUUGUGGUUUUUCCUCCUUUUAGCCUACGCUGCUGGCACCUCUGUUACAAGCUUACCAUGAUGCUGCACAUGGAUUAACUGCGCUAUGUUCUCCCCC